AUUACCUAAUAGUUCUGCUAGGUAUUUAUCUCUCUAACUUCUUCCUUUCAUGGAUCGUGAUGCCUCCGGUCUCUCUUUGUUCUAGGAAAAGCCAUCUCGUUAGUGAGAGGGACUCAGUGGUAUUUAUUCUUCUGGGCAAAAUCCCACGUGUGCCCUGAGUCCUCCUGCUGGCUGAGCACGUCAGGAAGGGAGCUCGAACUUGGCAGCUUUCAGAUGGGUGCUUCUGGGGUGCACGCUGUCACCGAGCAGUGGCAACCUGCUGUCCUGGCAGCUGGCUGCCACCAAGACGCACAGGAAGAUAUCCCUAGGUCUGCUUUUCUGCCUUAUCUUUAUCUGACAGUCGUUUCCUAAACCUGCAGCUUGUGGGCUGCCGGUGCAAAAACCUUUCUGAAGAAACCUUUGUAAGAAGCAGAGAGCCGCAGCAGCAACAGGUCAGUGCCAUCCGGGCUCUGCCCGCAUCGGCUUUGAGUUUUGGUGAUUAUGGAAGGUUGCUUCUCGUACGUGCACAGGAAACGAGUCCAGAAAACUUCUGGUUUAAAUUACAGUGAUUCCUAAUGCUGGAAGAAAGCCUUUAAUUGGUAGUAUCCUUUCCGCCCUUGUAAAUGACCUAACGUUGGCUUUGCUGCUUGCUGCAGGCUGCCAGAGCUCUGUGGCAGUAGCGUUAUGCUUGGAGGUGGAGCUGAGAUUCGAGCUUAGCUCAGGAGGAGUUAACCAGGGAGAUGAGGUGUCCUGAAGGCUUUCUUCUUGUGCUGAUGUAGUGGCUGCCUGGGACGUCACCUGUGCUCAGUGGCGCUGAAUAGCCCAUUCUUCUAGCUGUGAAGCUGAAGAACUUGUUUCUAAUCUAUAAAAACAAGAGAAACUAAGAUGCUUUCCUGUGGUUUCGGUGCAGCAGGCUGGCUGCUCGUGCAUUCCACGCUCUGUUUUCUCUUCACUAGAUGCCUUUACCACAAGAUCACUACUCGGUAGAAUAUGGGAGCGGAAAUAGCAGCAGGUUUUUUUAUUAUUUUUUUUUUAAACAACAAAAAAAACCUCCGAUCAAACCUCAUGCAUUCUAAAACCUUAUUCUAAAAGUAAACAAAUGGAAAGGCUCUGCACGCUGCUCACACGUUUUCAGCCUGCUUAGGACUGCUGCCUCUUCCCACCCUUACGCCGAGCAUUUGCCUAAGCCCCUGCUUGCUGGGGAAGGCGAUGGGAUAAUGGCACCCUCCCCUUGUUUAAGGGCGUAAUUAGGUGUGCCCAGAUGACUGGGGAGGAGAAUUGCACGUUAUUACAGGAAUUUAUAAAAUAGGCUAGUGUGGCUGGGACCACCUUGUCUGAAGUGAAGAUAUGACUGGCAUGAUCAAGUUUAUUCUCCAUCAUCCCAUUGUCCUUCCAUACUUUGAAAGUCGUGAAAUAAUUGUGCCUUCAUGGCUUAGCUAAUGUGUUUGCUGGUGCCUUUUAUGACCGGUGUUCAUAUGGCUCGCACCUGUGUUUUCCAGAUAACGACGCUUCUUUCCUUAACUGAUGUCUGUGAAGGAGUGUGAUGGAGAGAGCUCAGCAUGUAUCCUCCGAUGCAAAUGAAGUAAAUCAUAUGCUCCAUCUGCUCUGUCCGGACCGACGGCAGCUUAUAAGUUUAGAAAACAAGUUUAUUUGAGAAUUUAUGUAAAUCUUUGAAAGAAUGAGAGCACAUAGGGGACAGAAGGGAAAUCACCUUGCUGGAAACCCCCAGAACAAAUCUUGCCUUACCAUGUAGUGUUGUGAAGUAUCUGAACGUGUAUUCCAGUCCUUAAUUUUAACUUUAUGGCUUUUAAAAGGCUAAAAAUUUAGAAACUUCCAACCUUGAGAUGGGAUGAUGGACUGGCCAACAUGAGUGCGGUGUGUGAGAAUACCAAAUGUUUUAUUAUUUUUUUUAGGGGUGUGUGUCUCCCUUUGGAGGUACUCAGCCUGCUCAAAUAGAGGAUUGUGCUGUGUUCAAAGCAGGACUAGCAGGGCGAGGAUAAUUGGGUCUAUUAAAGUGACAUUUGGUAAAGAGCUGUGCUUAAAGGUUGGCGUGGACAUAGCUGCUUAGCUCUGAAGGUUUUGCUGCAUGCCUCUUAAUAAGUAAAGCCAUUGGAAAAAGGGAUUCAAGUGUGAUCAAGUAAUUAUAGAAAUCUAUGAAGUUGCAAAAGGAAGGGGAGGAAAAUACUUUAUGGCACUUAACUGCGUUCAGCUGAGAUCUGUUCUAGGUAAACUGGUCUGCUGUGUUCCAGCUGGGACGAGGCAGUUCCCCAAAAUGAAGUCCAUGAAAGAAUAAGAUGCCAUCAACAGAAAGGAAAGGCCCAUGUGUGCGAGGAGUCUCCUGAGCCUUGGGACACCAGCAGAAACAGCACUAGAAAUGCCCUCUGUGAAAGGUUUCCAUGUCUGCAACACGGAUGGUUCCCAUGAGGUUCUUAAUGUGAGGGUGAAGCAAUGGGCUGGGAAAGGAUGUAGAAGGGAGGGUGGUGGGGUUUGGGGUUCCCUCAACGACUUUAUGUGCUGGAGGUUGAUUUAAUCGACUCCAGAGAGUUGGCUGCUCUGUUGGAAGGCAAUACCACACUUUAUUUCCUUUGGGAAAAUAAGGAAACGGGAUGCUAGGGAAGAAAAUACAGGACCUCGCUUUCCUGGUGAUCCUAAGGUCAGCGUGACUCCAGCACGUGUUUCAGGCUCAAACUGAGUUCCCUAAACAAUCAGGGACACUCCGUGGAUGCCGGGCUUAACGCAAGCUUUUGUUACUUGCAACCAGCUCCAUCACAGGAGGUGAUGCUGCUCGGUGUAGAGCUGCUGUCAUCUUCCAUUUGCUUUCUUUACUGCUACCAUAAAUGGCUGUACUGUAAAAACAUUUGUUGACUGCUUGCGGUGGUUGAUUAUAUAGCGCUUCAGCUGAAUGUUUGCUUGCAGUUUCUUGAUGUGGUUCAUACUAGAUGUGGCUUUUUGUAACGUGAAAGUAGGUAUUUGCACAUCGAGCUGUAGCUCGUGGCAUGGCGUGAAGUGGCUCUGAACGUGAGAACGAGCCUGCUAAUGCUCGGGGAGCUCUGGGCUGUUGUGCUGCGGGGUUGUGUUAAGUGGACGAGGAUGGUGCCUUACAGGAGAUGUGCUUUUCUGCCUCAGUUAUAACAAUAUUUGGUUGGGAGGUCAUUAUAUUCUCACUUGAGGUAAAGCAGUCCUUGCUAUUAUGAUCAUAAAUUCUCUAAAGGUAGGAAAGAUACUGCUAGCACAUACCUGCGUAGGUCCUCCAGCUGAAGCCUCACAUGAAAUAUUCAUCUAAACAUCGUUAACGCCACAGAUACUAAGUAAUCUCUCUCUUUUUCUUUCCCAUGCAAUGUCUGUGUGAAUUCCCGGCAAAAAGUAAGCUCCCUCUGAGUUCCCGAGGUGCUUUCCUGCUUUUUCCUGCCCUGCGGUGAGGGUGACACUGACUAAGAGUGGUAGUACACCUGCAGGUGCAGAGACAAAGGGGAAGAAACUCUGUGGUUGGUUUUGGUCUAAGCAAAUGUUUUGCUGGUAAAUAUGCUUUUUUUAGAUGGAAAUUGUUGCUUGCUUAAAUAUGUAGACUAAAAACUGAAGACAAAAGCUUUUUUUUUUUUUUUAAUAUAACAUUUGAGGAUGUAAGUAUAUUUCCAUUUGACUUGAAAAAUCUAGAGUUUCUGUGGCUGAAAACUCUGGCGCCGUGUAGGAGCACUGAAAUUGCACUCACUGGAGCUUGAGGAUCUCAUCCCUUCCCCUACAGACCAGCUACCCAGCUGAGCUUAGCAAGGCAGUGCCUGUAAGCAGCUCUGCAGUACCAAAUCUUGCUCGCAUGUCAAGAUUAGCAGCUGUGUAAAACCACUUGCUAGCUUCUGGUUCCUGGAAUUAGUGUCUGUACGCAUUUCCCUAUAUGUAAGCUGCGUCGCUGUAAGCAAUGUAAACUCGUAGGACACUGACACGAAACAUGGAACAAACUUGAGACUUCACAGCCGUGAGUCUUUUUUUUUUUUUUCAUCUGACUCUCGAGGGUAAAAUUUUCCCUGCUACCUCUUGUAUUCCUUCUAGGAAUGCGAACUGUCUGUCUCCCAUGUAAAAGUUUCACUGUGCACGUUCUGAAAUACCAGAGGCAAAAUGCUGCAUUGCCUUUUCUAAACAGUCCUCGUGUGCUGUUUUUCCCCAGUGGUCGUGCCUCACCGUGAUGUCAGGUUCACCUGUAGCUCCAAAAUCUGUGCCAGAGAUCUCUGCUGAGCAGGGGUGGAAUUUCUCUGUCUUACGGGCACGUUUGAGGAUGGAGUAACUCUCACAUUGCGCUGCUCCGUUUGGCUGACAGUGAUCAGCUUCAGGCUUUUUUUUUUUCCUCCUCUGUUAGAAUUUGAUCCAUCAAAUGCCGUGUCCAAACAGAUGAGAAAAACAAAGGCUGCUUGUGUGCCUGGGAGCUUCUGGACAUCCUGUCUCUAGUGCUAAAGGGUGUCCACAGCCUCUUCUGACAAAGUCCCCUUCCUUCCUUCCUUCUCAGAAUCAGGUUGGAUAUUGUCCAAGUUGGUGCUCAAAAACUCUAUGGGAUUUACCGUGGUAAUAGGAAAAAAGAAAUGACUGGGUGGAGACUUAUUGCUGUCUGUGACUGCAGCAGCCUCGUAGUGUACAUCAGGUAUGUUCCUGGCCCUGAAAGUCAUCCUCACUCUUAAUUCAAUAUAUGUUGAUGAUUCUGGACCUUUUUUUUUCUUUUCUUAAAUGGUUAAUGCAUUUCAAUUAUACGGUGAAAUACCGUCCUAUGGAUGUUUAAUCCUAAUUUGAAUCAGCCUAGAGGACUGUAGGUUCUGGUUUUAAUGGGCUAGUUUACCCGGCUGUAUCUCCAUGUUCAAGCAAUUUCUUUAAGAGGAGAACCCAUCAGGCUCUCUGCCUGCCUGCUUCCAAAGACAAAAGCACCUGGCGUUGUAGAGAACUGAGAUGUGGUAGGAAAGGUAGGAGAAGGCUUUUACUACCUAAAGCAGGUUGUUACUUACUGCUUUCAGAAUUAGACAGGUACUAACUUCAGAAGGUUUUCUGCCUUAGUGUGUUGCAGAGUCCCAGGGCUCAAACGUUUUUCAGGUACUUUGAAGAAAGGAAAAUAUGAAGUAGGAGUUAAUGUUACUAAAACGCACUAGACUUGCUGAAGUGAGCCUGUUUUACAUGCUCUUUUGGGCUAAAAAAAGUUCUUGCUGUGUUAAAGUAAUAAUAUGAGUCUCAAUGUCCGUGGUGUAAGCCAGGCAAUCUGAGAAGUCCAGGUAACAAGCAGUUUGUUUGCAGCUUGAAUAUAUUUUAAAGGCUCUGAUUUGAUGUGAACACUCUCCUCAAGGGUUUAUUUUUACCAUGGAGUCAAGUUUUUUCAGUCUACGCUCAAGUAGAUUUCAGUACUUUCCUCGGAGUUGUGAAGUGCCUUCGUUCUUCAGAUUGUAAAUGCCCUAAACGUGGUUUAUCACCUCUAAUCUGAAGGCCCUUGCUGGCUUAGGUUCAAGAUACUGAAGCGAUGAGCUAUUUUAAUCAGGUGUUUUACCCUGUUACUGUACCUAAACUUAUAAAUCAAAACCUCUUGCUACACAGUGCUGUAAUUUGAGGUGCUCUGAUGAUGUCACGUACAUGAUAAAAGUACAUUCCCGUAAUUUUACUUGCCCCCCACCCCCAGGGGGAUUUUUUUGAGUAACGUUACUUUCUUUUUACUUAGAGCUGUAGUCCUGUUACCUGGUUAUACACGUGUCCUAAAUGCAGAUAUGUAAGUAUAAAAAGAUGUCAGGCUUCUGGAUGUAGAAACUGAGGUUCUCCUGAAGUGUGCUACUACGCUGAAAACUGCCCAAACCUGAUGAAAUUUUAUGGCUGAAGAGAUAGUGCUGAAUAUUUUAAAUGUGAUUUGAAUUGCAAGUGGUUCUUGCACAUGUUUGCUGUGAAGCAAAAAUGAAAUGAAAUGAAAUCAGGACUCGUCUAUACUGGCAGGGUAGAGCACGUUUUAUAAUCAGGCGUGUUUAGGCUUGAGAAACUGCAAAGCCUUCUUCAAAGAAGGUUGCUGGUGCUUACUGGCAUUAAAAGGCAUUAAUUCUGGGCUUUGCAAAGAAGUCUUAAAGGACAGUGAAAGUGAACUCGUCUCUGACCUUGAGUGAUGAGAGCUGUAUUGAAAGUCAGUAGUUGUAGUGCAGAGUUUAAGGUGUGCAUUGCUUACAGCAGCUCAGUGUUCAGGAUGAACACGAUAAAUCAGAGGCCACCGAGCUGCCAGAGCUGAGUUAGGCUCUAGGUUCAAGGAGGAGAGAAGGGAGAUCUCUUUCCUGGGCUGCUGCAACCCAAGCAGGUUAGGAGAAGGUAAAGCUGCUUCCUUACAAGUAGCAAUUAGGAGGACAGAAAUUAACGGGUGCUGGAGUAUCUAAAGCACUGGUAGAUGUUCCUGUUCAGAGCACGGAAAUCGGUUUCAUUUCAGCCUUUCAUCUUCCUGAGCUCCACUCUGCCGUCUGACCUGCACAAACAGGCUCCAGAACCAUCGUGGCUCAUAAAUCCUGCGGUGAGCCAGCCCUGCUGAGCCAUGGAUACAAACGUGGAACUUCUUAGUGUACAGCUAGCUAGAAAAAUACAUCACAAGUGAGUACGUUUAUGGGUGUGAAGUUCACGUGUUCACUUAGGGAAUUCAAGAACUGCCAGGUGCAUAGCUGGGAUUUAGAUACAUCUGUGUUCAUCUUCAAACCAAGACAGUUUAUCCUGCGUCCCUUUGCACCCCCUGGCCUACCUUUUGCUUCCCAAUGCCUGUGGGGGGAAGAAAAGCUGGUUUUAGGUACUUCAGGUAGGAGCUGCUGCAGUUUUCUUUACAGAGAAGAGCUGUAGUAUAUAUGGCUAUGUGCAUUAAGUGCCUCCAUGUACUCCACACAAAUUACUUUUUUUCUGAAGUGCUUGUUCAGCGAUGGCUGCAUCUGGAGGAGCAGGGAGCAGAGAGAGGGAGAGAUGUAAGAAUAUGUGGCUGUAUCGUAGGACUAACUGGUGCUUUUAGUGUUUCCAAACAAAGCACAAGCUUUUGACAAUGCUUGUGUGCCGUGUAUAUAUUUAAUAUAUAUCUCCUCAGGGGAAGGCUUAGUUAUACGUAACCAAGUCAGAUGUUUAUUGUUGUAUUCCCACCGUAUCUUCUUCAACAUUUAAGAUUUGCUCCUCUGUGAAGUCCACGUUGUGGGAUAAUCUCCUGGAUGUGCUCUUGGACAAUGCUGGAUAACGUCAGAACAUUGCAUUCUCUGAGGCUUGAGUAAGCAUGAGCUUAAUCAUACGUAAAUACCCGUGUUUUAUGUACGUGUAAUUCUCGUUCUUCAGGAGCAGAUAAAAAGAACUUCUCAUCUUGAUAAAAGCAGCCUUGUUGUUCCUGCCAGAUGCUGGGAAGGGGCAAUGGGAAUCAAGGAGGGUGCUCGGCUUGUAGUCCCCUGCAAAGCGUUACUCUGUGCACAGCUCGUGGCAUCCUUCUUGCACUGUAACUUUCUCCAGUCCUGUUGUUCUGUUUUCACUGUUGGUGAAAUUAUCAAGGGUUUCACAUCACGUGCUGAUUACGGUAAUUGUAGUGACAAAUGGCAUCUGCUUCCCUGGGUGGCCAUAACAGCGCUGGCAGCAGACACUAGGACAGCGGGACAGAGUGAGGGAAGCAUCCCUGAUUGCUUUGAAGCACACAGACUAUGUUUUAAUGUCUCUUUUUUUCUUUUUUUAAGAAAGGAACAGGUGCUGUUAAUCUUUCUAGAAGUAAAAGUGCCUCGUAGGGAUUUGUGUGAGGAUGGGAUGACUGGAGAAGGACACACCUGUCCUUCUGCAGCAUGAUCUGGUGUUUUGGUAGCUGUCUGCUCUGGCUUUGAUGUAAUCCCAGACUUUGUUCCACAUUCUCCGCCAUCUGCAGCACCGCAGAAAACCUCGAGCACUUCUGUUUAAAAACAAUGCUGGGUUGGCAUCAGUAAUUCCUGCAGUGUCCUGGUCUCUGUGCAGGGUGAGCACUAGGGCAAUCACAUAACACAGCUGGGGGAAUGUCUUGGGAUCGUGUGCUUUAGCGAUCUGUGAACGUGCUCGAGUCUGAAGCUGAACCUUUGGUUCACCAACAUGUUUGUUUCAAGCCCGAACUUCCAAAUUUUAGCUGGGAAGGCUUUGGGGGCUAUUUGCAGUGCUGAAAUCGUGGGUGUUAUUUAAACCCAGAGGCGGUCUGUAACUUCAGCUGGAGGGUGGAAACCCUUCUAUUUCCUUGCCUUCACUGGGCUGAAACCAAAAAUCUAAACAUGUGGAAAAAAUUUAAAUAAGCAGCUAGCAGCUCUUUGAAACAUUAAGCGUAUAUUUAGUAAAUACAACUGGAGAUUAUAGACAGGGCGAGGAUAAAUAUGUGUCUUGGCACGUGGCGCCCCUGUAACCCCGUCGUGGUGCUGUGCUUUUUCAGCUUGUGUGCUUUCAGGUGGCUUUUCAGCUUGGAGACUAUUCGUGGCCUAAUGAAGAAUAAUUAAAAAAAGCUGCACCAAAAAUGUGACACUUCCCUGUGGCUCGCGUAAGAUGUCUUCACCCCGCUAAUUGCUGUUAUUAAUUGAUGGAGAGGGAGUCCUGGGACUGUGAGUGAGCCCAGCUAAUGGAGGAAGUCCCCUUUGUGCAUUACAGGCAGCACAACGAGCGGGGGAGAUGAUAAAAAAAAUAAAAAUAAAAUAAAAUAAAGGGGCGCUGGCGGUGGGCUGGGAGAGAUGCAGCUCUUGCAGGAAUGACUCUUGUUCUUCUCCGCAGAAGGGCUUGCAUCCUUGGCAGGUUUUCUCAUCUCUGGACUUGAUUGCCUCAGCAGUCUUAGAAAGAGGAAACCUAGAAAACUUGUUGCAUAAUAUUUUGGGUAAAUUGAAUGGCUGAUGAGCCUACUGGGCUUGGCUUCUUGCUUCCCUUCUAGGAAGUGGGUGGAAAAGAGCCUUGAUUUCGUUAGCGAUUAAGGGAGUGGUGUAACAGUAGAGCAUGUUCGAGUUGCUAUCUUCAUAGAAGUUUCCUCUAAUGAUUUCCUGCAGGCAGUGGCCAGCUGCAGUGGAGCCAGCUGAAUGACACUUAGCUCCUCCAGUUCAUCACUGCAAGCUCAGUGACAUUUGGGAGACAUCUGAGAGCGGUGUCUCUGGAGGGUGACCCAUGGGGAGUGGCUCUGUGUGCUCACUGGCAUUUUGCAGCUGCCUUGAAGCCUUCAGGCUGCUCCAUACCUGGGCCAUCCCGCUCCUGUGAAGCAGGCAGCAGAAAGCUGGCCCAGCUCUCCAGACACUGCCACGGACGGCACCACUGCGCUGAGCAUCUGCACGCUCUGCUCAUCUGCCUGCACUCAGCGCCAGUGUAAGAUCAGCUCUCUGUCACAGGGCAGCGUUUGGAGGUAGAGGUGCAGCCCCUGGGAAUGUUUCGGGGUUGCUGUGUCAUCCCGUAAGUCUUGAAACGCCGUCUGGAUGGCAGCAGGAAGGCCUGUUUCUGCUCAGAUUGAUACCUGCUGUAUCUGCUACGUCUAAUUUUCAUAAAUCAAUCCUGACCGAAUAAGGCCUGUGAGCUGUGGUUAAUGCUCCCCGUGGCAAAUAGUCCCAGUGCAAUUUGGGAAGACUCCUUCAAAACCAGCAGCUAUUUCAGGCACAUUAGCUUUGUCUACUGCCUGGAGGUAAACCACAACACUAAUUGCCUCGCAAACCUCUCCUAGAGUGGCUGUGACAGCAGAUUUGGCAGCGUAUCUCCACGGGAGGGAAGAAAUUGCUCAUAUGAGGCUUGUUAAAUGGGGGGAGCUCUGGCUUGUGCUCAAUCUGAGUUUGAGAUGCAGCCGAUGCUGGGUUGGGACAAUUUACUCCCUCUUCUGAGGGAGGAAAAGUGCUCCGUGCAUGUGUACCAUGUCCGAUGCUCUCACUUUGUGGUUUUCAUUUAAAAAAAAAAAGUUGGAGGAUUUGGGGAGAAGGGAAGGGUGCAGAAAUGCUCUGGAUAUUGCAGAGCUUGCUGCUGUUCUUGGACCUUGCAGGGAUAAUAAGGAAAAUAUGGAGAAUCCCUCUGAGAUGAUGACAAUUUUCUGACCUGCUGGUGAAAAAUAUUGCACUUGUUGGCUAUGAACGUGGUGCUUCAGGUACUCUACUAAUACCCAUUCAGGAGAGUGAAAUAAGCUGAUUGCAUACUCUCCCUUUUAUUUAAAAAUGCAGCUUUUUCAUUUUUUUUUUCUGUUUCCUUAAUGAAACAUUGGACUUCUUUUCCUUGUGAUCUUCCUUUUAAAGUCAGAUUUUGUAAAUAACUUGAUUUACACGUUGGUAUGGUCACAUAAAUGAUUUUUUUCUUCUUUCACAGUUUGUUAAAGAUCACAGAGGACUUGAGACAAUUCAUAGUUUAUGAAUAGGUUCAUUCAUUAAAAAGCCAGGUUUUAAGCUUCUGGAUAAAACUAAGUCCUGGCUAUAGGUGAAAGAAAAGAUGAGAAUGAUUUUGCCCUUCUAGAAAUAAUUAUAAAUCUGCUGCAGAAUUCUAGGAAUUGCUGGGAAAAUCCUACUGCUUCUUAGGAAUUACUCAAGGGGGGGAGGGAAGCAAAUCCUGGAAACGCGUGAGAAUUGCUGAAGACAUCUACGCCCUGCCAGAUGUUCAGAGAGACUUAGCAGUUCCUGGAGGCCUAAAAAGCCACUAAAACUUCUUAGCUUCUAGUAAUUCCUGCUGGGAAACUCAAGGGAUUACGAGAAGCUAGAAAUCCUGUAGGAAUCCAGUAAAUUCAGUAACUCUGCUAGUAAUUUCUGUGACUUGGGAGCAUCUGCGAGGAAUAGAAAUGCUGCUGUCUUUGAGUAAAGUGACAAUCCGUUGUACGUGGAUAUCAACCUGCUCAUCUUCACUAAGCCAUGGAGCGUCUUACUUGGUGGGUGUCCCAGAGGUGCUUGUCUCACACGUGCUUUUUUUUUUUU
Molecule: non-coding RNA, 10844 nt
Organism: Anas platyrhynchos (mallard)
Lineage: Eukaryota; Metazoa; Chordata; Aves; Anseriformes; Anatidae
Source: RefSeq, a predicted model, not a curated record